Molecule: non-coding RNA, 126 nt
Organism: Triticum aestivum (bread wheat)
Lineage: Eukaryota; Viridiplantae; Streptophyta; Magnoliopsida; Poales; Poaceae
Source: Rfam
AAGAUACUCGCUCCGUCCGAAAAAAUUUGUCCCUCAAAUGAAUGUAUCUAGCACCAAGUUAGUAUUAGAUACAUCCAUUUAAAAGACAAAUUUGGGACAACCUUUUUCAGACGAAGGGAGUAACAC